UGAGGAAUAUUGGUCAAUGGGCGGGGAGCCUGAACCAGCCAAGUCGCGUGAGGGAAGACGGUCCUACGGAUUGUAAACCUCUUUUUGCCGGGGAGCAACGGGGUCCUUGCGAGGGCCCGAUGAGAGUACCCGGAGAAAAAGCAUCGGCUAACUCCGUGCC
Molecule: ribosomal RNA, 160 nt
Filed under: uncultured bacterium
Lineage: Bacteria
Description: partial 16S ribosomal RNA
Rfam family: Bacterial small subunit ribosomal RNA
Source: RNAcentral